CCUACGGGUGGCAGCAGUGGGGAAUAUUGCACAAUGGGGGAAACCCUGAUGCAGCGACGCCGCGUGAAGGAAGAAGUAUUUCGGUAUGUAAACUUCUAUCUGCGGGGAAGAAAAUGACGGUACCUGACUAAGAAGCCCCGGCGAACUACGUGCCAGCAGCCGCGGUAAUACGUAGGGGGCAAGCGUGAUACGGAUUUACUGGGUGUAAAGGGAGCGUAGGCGGUUUAGCAAGUGUGAAGUGAAAACCCGGGGCGCAACUACGGGACUGCUUUUGAAACUGUUGCACUAGAGUGCAGGAGAGGUAAGUGGAAUUCCUAGUGUAGCGGUGAAAUGCGUAGAUAUUAGGAAGAACACCAGUGGCGAAGGCGGCUUACUGGACUGUAAAUGACGCUGAGGCUCGAAAGCGUGGGGAGCAAACAGGAUUAGAUACCCUGGUAGUC
Molecule: ribosomal RNA, 440 nt
Filed under: uncultured bacterium
Lineage: Bacteria
Description: partial 16S ribosomal RNA
Rfam family: Bacterial small subunit ribosomal RNA
Source: RNAcentral